UCAGUUAUGAAUUUGUGCUAUAGGAGAAGCAGGUGCUUCCUGGGAGGCGCAGGAGCAAAGCUCUCCUUUAGACUGUCGCCAUUUUUAUUCCCAUCAUUCAUCUUCAGUGAGAACCUCUGAAAGGCAACUGAGAGGUUCAGAGACAAAUAUUUCUUUCCCCUUUGAUAGCCUCCAAGGUCUGAGUAGUGCUCGGCACCAAGAGGGGGAAACAAAGAUGGUACAGGAAUGGGUAAAUUCAGUUCUGGAAGAUGUGAGCUCUGCGUUUGGAACCCGUGUCUUCUCACCCAGAUCACACAGUCCUGGGAUAAUAUGAGGAGAACACUGAGAGCAAAGAGCCCCAAAUGGGAAUGGUGGCUGGAUUUAUUGUUUUAUCUGAGCCACCAGAUGCUGUGUUCAGGCUCUUGAUGGUUUCCCCAUUGGAUUCUAGUUGUUUGUGGUCACAAAGCCCUCCCCAUCAAGGCCAUCCUAAUCCAAAAUCUAAAAUAGAUUUUCUAUGAUGAAGAUAAAUGGUAAGUGUAGAAAUUCAGGGUCAGCUGAACCUUAUCUUUAUAAACUGCACCAAGUUAUAAACUUCUUGAGGGUGGAAACCACGUCUUUCUUGCUCACAACUGCAGCCUGAGGGACCAGCAUCACCUGGCAUAGAAAAGGUGCUUGAUAAAUGCCAAGUUCAGCAAUUGAGUGGAAGGCCUGCAGCCACGGGCCAGGGUGCCAGGUGGGCUUGGCAGAACCACAUGAAAGUCCUCUCCACCUGGAAAGGUCUUCCUCUGGUCUUUCUCUUCAUUCCAACCUCAGCUCCAUGACCCCUCCUCAGAAAUGGUCCCUGAACACCCUAUCUGAAGUUGACCUUUCCAUUACAUCUCUACCCCUUGUCCCUAUUUAGUUCUCUAAUAACAAAUGUCACGAUCUCCAGCUCUCAGAUUUCCUAACUCGUUUAUUAUUCUUAUUUGAUUACAUGCUUCCUACACCAUAAUAUCAGCACGGCUGAACUCUCCACCCACAGCACCUGGAACAGGUUCUUGGCCCAGUAGGCAGGCACUCCAUGAAUUCGAGUCGAAUGAACAAAGCAGCAUUAGAUUAUGAGAACAAGAGAGACACUUUCCUCAGUUCUACGACACACGUUUUAUUGAUUCUGGACCUGCGCUGCAUCUUACAACCGAUGUUGGGGGCGUGGCCAAGGUUAGCAAACUGACAACCAGACACAGGUGUGCCUGUGGCUGCUAUUAUGUGGGCCGCUGCCUUUUCCUCAUUAGCCCAGGUCCCACUCUGCCUCUCACCUGGCCGGCGCACCUGAACCCACUGAGGAUGGAGCGAGACGGCAAAAUGGCUGCACCGCUGCGGCAGCGCUUCUUCUGUCCCUCGGGGUCUAGGAGUGGCUCACUCAGCGUCCAGACACUGAUCCCGUCAACUUGCUGAAGCUCAGGCCCAGGAUGCAAGUGGUCAUAAAAAGAGGUACUGUCUAGAGAGGAGCAACCCAAGUCCCUGCCUUCCAUAUACUUACACUUCUGGGGAGGAAGUGUAAUAAAUAAACAAGCCAAUAAAUAAACAAUAAACCUGUAAAUAUAUAAAGGA
Molecule: long non-coding RNA, 1569 nt
Organism: Aethalodelphis obliquidens (Pacific white-sided dolphin)
Lineage: Eukaryota; Metazoa; Chordata; Mammalia; Artiodactyla; Delphinidae
Exons: 3
Source: RefSeq, a predicted model, not a curated record